This is a long non-coding RNA of Podarcis raffonei (Aeolian wall lizard), 1420 nucleotides long. RefSeq lists it as uncharacterized. The transcript is spliced from 4 exons. The record is from RefSeq and is a predicted model, not a curated record. NCBI's taxonomy places the organism in Eukaryota, Metazoa, Chordata, Lepidosauria, Squamata, Lacertidae.
GGGCUUUGCUCCUCUGCUUGGGGGUGAAGCUGGAGGCGGGCCCCCCGAGGAAGCUCCCCGGGUGGAAGAGGCUGCCGCCGUAGUCGUGGGCGGCGGGCACGUAGGAAGGGGAAGUUGCGGAGAGAGGCUCCUGCCACACACCUGGGAUCACCACCUGGAAGGAAGGAAGGAACGGUGUUUGUUGUUGUUUUGCUUCUCCUGACACUUCCCGGGAUCCAGGCCACAGAACAGAAUAGAUGAUGGCACUUCAGUUGGCUGAGCAUCCUGGAGGAAUUGUGAUCCACUUGUAAAGCCAGUCCCCGGUACAGUACUGGGAAUCUGAGGGAUGGAAAGAACAGCAAAUGCUCUCCACUGAACAAACUGGUGUGAAUGGAAUCACUUGCAAAGCUUGGGCGGGGAAAGGGUUAAGUCGGACGUGUGUGUUGCCAAUUCAAAGUGGGACUGGAGCCUGGAGACCUUGCGGGGAGAUACAGUGGCUUAUGGGGGGUGGGUUAAUGUGUUGUGGUGUAACAAUACCAGUACUAAUACCCUGCUGUUAUUGAUAUUCUGCCCCAUCGUAAUAGUCUGUACUUUCUGAGCGGUAUGGAAGUUUAUAGGGGUCAGUAAAACACACACACCACACACACACACAACCUUACUCCUCAAAAUUCAACAAUCGCCCAACUUUCCAUGCCGCCCCUGUCUUCCCUCCUCCUGUAUUUCCAUCCCCACCCGCCACGAUUCUCCCAUGAUUAUGAAAUGAUGGUGUUUCGCUCUCUCUGGGCUGCCCUGGUUAGAUUUCCUACUGAAGAUGUAGUCUUUAAACUAUGAAAAGAAAAAGGGAGAGAAGAAGACGUGGGGUAUUGGUAAGGGGAAUAGAAAAUAAAACCCCCACCUCUUUCUCCCUCUCCUCGCGCGGUAACAAUCUUAUUCUACAUAUGAAAACAUGAUAAACAUUAAGUUGCUUAAUGAUGAUGAUAAUGAUGAUGAUAAUGCUGCCAGGUUUUUUAUUAUUAUUAUGGGCAGCCCAAUAUUUUCGAAACUGAUUUUUAAAAAUGUAUUUGUGUAAGAGUGUGUGUGUGUGUGUGUGUGUGUGUGUAUUCCCGAAGCCUGGAGACUCUGGGCUCAGCAGCUCCCGAGGUUCUCUCCCUUAUUAUUACUAUCCAGGAGUAAUUUUUCAUCUCUGCUAGCUAAUCUUUGUUCCUUGUGAAGAUAAUGAAUAGUCCAAUCCUUAUCUCCUGGGCUCCUGGAGGCUGCAGGAGAAUGGGGUUGAACAGGGUUGAAAAUUGGUUCCAAAGUGCUGCUGAAUAAAUGCUGUUCCUUAUCUCUCGCUUCCAGAUUAUCGGGACCCUUUCAAAACUCGCACAACAAAUACAGCCACCGCAUCUAAUGCAUCAUUUACCAGAGCAGAUCCCCGCGCGUUUGAUCGGCAGAUAGGCAA